RNAcentral lists this ribosomal RNA (273 nucleotides) under uncultured bacterium. RNAcentral describes it as "partial 16S ribosomal RNA". It matches the Rfam family "Bacterial small subunit ribosomal RNA", at positions 523 to 796 of the family's 1533-position model. The record is from RNAcentral.
CUACGGAGGGUGCAAGCGUUACUCGGAAUCACUGGGCGUAAAGCGCGCGCAGGCGGUCUUUUAAGUUGGAUGUGAAAGCCUACGGCUCAACCGUAGAACUGCAUCCAAAACUAUUAGACUAGAGUGUGGGAGAGGAAGAUGGAAUUAGUUGUGUAGGGGUAAAAUCCGUAGAGAUAACUAGGAAUACCAAAAGCGAAGGAAUCUUCUGGAACACUACUGACGCUGAGGCGCGAAAGCGUGGGGAGCAAACAGGAUUAGAAACCCUAGUAGUCC